AUUCUUUUGUGGUUCAUAUGCAUGAUGAGUGGGUAUUCACACAUUUGUGUGAGAUGUGCCUCCCUCAAACCUUGUUAAGAUGUCAGCACAUUACCCAUCUGACA
RNAcentral lists this small nucleolar RNA (104 nucleotides) under Dasypus novemcinctus (nine-banded armadillo). RNAcentral describes it as "Small nucleolar RNA U13 (ENSDNOG00000036479.1)". It matches the Rfam family "Small nucleolar RNA U13". Lineage: Eukaryota; Metazoa; Chordata; Mammalia; Cingulata; Dasypodidae. The record is from RNAcentral.